RNAcentral lists this ribosomal RNA (468 nucleotides) under uncultured bacterium. RNAcentral describes it as "partial 16S ribosomal RNA". It matches the Rfam family "Bacterial small subunit ribosomal RNA", at positions 28 to 507 of the family's 1533-position model. The record is from RNAcentral.
GACGAACGCUGGCGGCGUGCUUAACACAUGCAAGUCGAACGGAAAGGCCCUGCUUUUGUGGGGUGCUCGAGUGGCGAACGGGUGAGUAACACGUGAGUAACCUGCCCUUGACUUUGGGAUAACUUCAGGAAACUGGGGCUAAUACCGGAUAGGAUCUCCUGCUGCAUGGUGGGGGUUGGAAAGUUUCGGCGGUUGGGGAUGGACUCGCGGCUUAUCAGCUUGUUGGUGGGGUAGUGGCUUACCAAGGCUUUGACGGGUAGCCGGCCUGAGAGGGUGACCGGCCACAUUGGGACUGAGAUACGGCCCAGAAUCCUACGGGAGGCAGCAGUGGGGAAUAUUGCACAAUGGGCGGAAGCCUGAUGUAGCAACGCCGCGUGCGGGAUGACGGCCUUCGGGUUGUAAACCGCUUUCGCCUGUGACGAAGCGUGAGUGACGGUAAUGGGUAAAGAAGCACCGGCUAACUACGUG